Molecule: long non-coding RNA, 316 nt
Filed under: Felis catus (domestic cat)
Lineage: Eukaryota; Metazoa; Chordata; Mammalia; Carnivora; Felidae
Description: lncRNA (ENSFCAG00000051927.1)
Source: RNAcentral
AUGCCGGCGGGCCGCGUGGAGCAGGGAAGCAUCUCGGGAUGCGCGGAAUCCCAUUCAUGGCAGCGCGGAGGAAUCGCGUGCUGUGGAGAACAAACAUCUCUUACGAAGAAGGAAGCAGUGUCUGAAAGCCGAGAUGCCAGCAGCAUGAAUAAGGAGUGUAUCAAGGACGUGAAAUUAAAGUCUGUAUUUCUAAACAGGGCUCCCUUUUCCGUGGCGUUCUUUCUGCGAGGGGUUGCCUUGGCUGCUUCCAAGCGUUGUACUUGAUCUUCUUUAAUUUACAGAAUAAAAGAUUCAUGAGUUUUAAAGAAAGACGUCA